This is a long non-coding RNA of Carassius carassius (crucian carp), 703 nucleotides long. RefSeq lists it as uncharacterized. The transcript is spliced from 4 exons. Lineage: Eukaryota; Metazoa; Chordata; Actinopteri; Cypriniformes; Cyprinidae. The record is from RefSeq and is a predicted model, not a curated record.
UGACUCAAAUACAACCAAUCAGAACAUAUUUUGUGUUUAAUACCUAUAUAGCUAUGUGGCACAUGAUCUUGGACCAAUGAGGAUUCCCUAGGGGCGGAGCUAUACCUAUAUAGCUUUGUGGCACAUGAUCUUGGACCAAUGAGGAUUCCCUAGGGGCGGAGCUACCCAGUAUGACACCAUGGGAACAGUGGCCAAAUGCCUGGCAAAAUGUCCUGUUGGCAGUGUUUGUGUCACAGGUCAUUUCCACUGUGAAGGGGAAUAUCUUUCAGAGGAAAUGCAGCAUGUUUGAAAAUAUUCAAGACUUCAUCACAAUAUCAGAGAGAACAUGUGGAUACUCCACCAAAAACCUCCUGCAUUUUUGAUGACUCAACCUUCUGUCCUCUUCCAGAGAUGAAGUGACUCAUAAGGAGAGGCAGAUGAACUUGUGGUUGUGUGUUUCUGCCGUAUAUGAAAUUUUACUGGUGUCAUAUGGACGCUGAGAGGAAAAGAUCAGAUAAAAUUACACCAAGAAGGUUAGCAGGGCGGACCUGGACAGUGUCAAAGCUCGGUCAUAUGAGGGAAGAGACAGCCGUGGACCCAAAAAGGAAUAAAGACAGCAGUUUGUGAGAGCGCUGUUGACCUGCGAGCAGAUGUUGGACCUCAAAAAAAAAAAAAAAACACAAGCGCUGGUGAAAUAAACGGUGAAGAAUGUUAAAAAAGGAAA